This 1621-nucleotide ribosomal RNA is filed under the name Salmonella enterica. Its description in RNAcentral is "partial 23S ribosomal RNA". It matches the Rfam family "Bacterial large subunit ribosomal RNA", at positions 1200 to 2802 of the family's 2925-position model. The record is from RNAcentral. RNAcentral also lists the same sequence under 1 other name. Lineage: Bacteria; Pseudomonadati; Pseudomonadota; Gammaproteobacteria; Enterobacterales; Enterobacteriaceae.
CUGCGGCAGCGACGCUUAUGCGUUGUUGGGUAGGGGAGCGUUCUGUAAGCCUGCGAAGGUGGCCUGUGAGGGUUGCUGGAGGUAUCAGAAGUGCGAAUGCUGACAUAAGUAACGAUAAAGCGGGUGAAAAGCCCGCUCGCCGGAAGACCAAGGGUUCCUGUCCAACGUUAAUCGGGGCAGGGUGAGUCGACCCCUAAGGCGAGGCCGAAAGGCGUAGUCGAUGGGAAACGGGUUAAUAUUCCCGUACUUGGUGUUACUGCGAAGGGGGGACGGAGAAGGCUAUGUUGGCCGGGCGACGGUUGUCCCGGUUUAAGCGUGUAGGUGUGUGUUCCAGGUAAAUCCGGUUCACUUUAACACUGAGGCGUGACGACGAGGCACUACGGUGCUGAAGCAACAAAUGCCCUGCUUCCAGGAAAAGCCUCUAAGCAUCAGGUAACAUCAAAUCGUACCCCAAACCGACACAGGUGGUCAGGUAGAGAAUACCAAGGCGCUUGAGAGAACUCGGGUGAAGGAACUAGGCAAAAUGGUGCCGUAACUUCGGGAGAAGGCACGCUGACACGUAGGUGAAGUGAUUUACUCAUGGAGCUGAAGUCAGUCGAAGAUACCAGCUGGCUGCAACUGUUUAUUAAAAACACAGCACUGUGCAAACACGAAAGUGGACGUAUACGGUGUGACGCCUGCCCGGUGCCGGAAGGUUAAUUGAUGGGGUCAGCGCAAGCGAAGCUCCUGAUCGAAGCCCCGGUAAACGGCGGCCGUAACUAUAACGGUCCUAAGGUAGCGAAAUUCCUUGUCGGGUAAGUUCCGACCUGCACGAAUGGCGUAAUGAUGGCCAGGCUGUCUCCACCCGAGACUCAGUGAAAUUGAACUCGCUGUGAAGAUGCAGUGUACCCGCGGCAAGACGGAAAGACCCCGUGAACCUUUACUAUAGCUUGACACUGAACAUUGAGCCUUGAUGUGUAGGAUAGGUGGGAGGCUUUGAAGCGUGGACGCCAGUCUGCGUGGAGCCGACCUUGAAAUACCACCCUUUAAUGUUUGAUGUUCUAACGUGGACCCGUUACCCGGGUUGCGGACAGUGUCUGGUGGGUAGUUUGACUGGGGCGGUCUCCUCCUAAAGAGUAACGGAGGAGCACGAAGGUUGGCUAAUCCUGGUCGGACAUCAGGAGGUUAGUGCAAUGGCAUAAGCCAGCUUGACUGCGAGCGUGACGGCGCGAGCAGGUGCGAAAGCAGGUCAUAGUGAUCCGGUGGUUCUGAAUGGAAGGGCCAUCGCUCAACGGAUAAAAGGUACUCCGGGGAUAACAGGCUGAUACCGCCCAAGAGUUCAUAUCGACGGCGGUGUUUGGCACCUCGAUGUCGGCUCAUCACAUCCUGGGGCUGAAGUAGGUCCCAAGGGUAUGGCUGUUCGCCAUUUAAAGUGGUACGCGAGCUGGGUUUAGAACGUCGUGAGACAGUUCGGUCCCUAUCUGCCGUGGGCGCUGGAGAACUGAGGGGGGCUGCUCCUAGUACGAGAGGACCGGAGUGGACGCAUCACUGGUGUUCGGGUUGUCAUGCCAAUGGCACUGCCCGGUAGCUAAAUGCGGAAGAGAUAAGUGCUGAAAGCAUCUAAGCACGAAACUUGCCCCGA